AGUGUAUGCAGUAUACUACACGAGUGGCAAGUCUUUCAAAUCACCAUGGGUCUCUGGCCUGAUAAGUAGAGUUUAACAGUAGUACUUGCUACAAGU
This 96-nucleotide small nucleolar RNA is filed under the name Canis lupus dingo (dingo). Lineage: Eukaryota; Metazoa; Chordata; Mammalia; Carnivora; Canidae. The record is from RNAcentral.